UACGGAGGAUGCGAGCGUUAUCCGGAUUUAUUGGGUUUAAAGGGUGCGUAGGCGGGCUUUUAAGUCAGCGGUAAAAAUUCGGGGCUCAACCCCGUCCGGCCGUUGAAACUGGGGGCCUUGAGUGGGCGAGAAGAAGGCGGAAUGCGUGGUGUAGCGGUGAAACGCAUAGAUAUCACGCAGAACCCCGAUUGCGAAGGCAGCCUUCCGGCGCCCUACUGACGCUGAGGCACGAGAGCGUGGGUAUCGAACAGG
This 252-nucleotide ribosomal RNA is filed under the name uncultured bacterium. RNAcentral describes it as "partial 16S ribosomal RNA". It matches the Rfam family "Bacterial small subunit ribosomal RNA", at positions 524 to 776 of the family's 1533-position model. The record is from RNAcentral.